AAGGGCGUAUGGGGGAUGCCUAGGCUCUCAGAGGCGAUGAAGGCGUGAUAAGCUGCGAAAAGCUGCGGGGACGGGCACACACCGAUUGAUCCGCAGAUACCGAAUGGGGCAACCCACUAUGUUGAAGACAUAGUACACCGAUAGGUGGGCAA
RNAcentral lists this ribosomal RNA (152 nucleotides) under Beta vulgaris subsp. vulgaris (sugar beet). Its description in RNAcentral is "rRNA 5_8S_rRNA". It matches the Rfam family "Bacterial large subunit ribosomal RNA", at positions 13 to 182 of the family's 2925-position model. Lineage: Eukaryota; Viridiplantae; Streptophyta; Magnoliopsida; Caryophyllales; Amaranthaceae. The record is from RNAcentral.